UGUCAAUCACUUGAAUCUAAAUCUCUUAUCUAAAUAUUUGGUACCAUAUUAUGUAUAAAUAUUUUUGUAUAAAAUUCAGUUUAAUAUUAUAAUGAAGAAGUUUAGGAUAUGGGAGUAAAAUUGCGUGGAGUUUUUCUUUGUUUUUUCUUAAUUUGGCCUACAAGCACGUUGGACCUUGAUGUUCCGGAGCUGGAAGGGAGAUGGAGGUAUCGAAACCCCAGAUGGCAACUCGACGAGAGCAUAAAACCCUGUAUGAGAAUCCAACCGACAAGCAAGGAUAUUAUCAAAAGAUUCAACUCUAUACUGCCAUAUUUUGAUCGUGAUCACGCAAAUACGGCGUUUCUCCAGAAGUACCGCGCGACUGUACUUGGCCUCACCGACACUGAUGAUCUUCUCGACGUAGAAGCUGCAUACCACGCCGCGGUGCUCACUCCGCUUAUCUUUUUGCGUCAGUACAGA
Long non-coding RNA from Leptidea sinapis, 459 nucleotides. RefSeq lists it as uncharacterized. NCBI's taxonomy places the organism in Eukaryota, Metazoa, Arthropoda, Insecta, Lepidoptera, Pieridae. The transcript has 3 exons. The record is from RefSeq and is a predicted model, not a curated record.